UUGACCUCGAUCACGAG
RNAcentral lists this ribosomal RNA (17 nucleotides) under Scedosporium boydii. RNAcentral describes it as "partial large subunit ribosomal RNA". The record is from RNAcentral. Lineage: Eukaryota; Fungi; Ascomycota; Sordariomycetes; Microascales; Microascaceae.